Molecule: long non-coding RNA, 1696 nt
Organism: Engraulis encrasicolus (European anchovy)
Lineage: Eukaryota; Metazoa; Chordata; Actinopteri; Clupeiformes; Engraulidae
Exons: 3
Source: RefSeq, a predicted model, not a curated record
CGUUCACUUCGGUCUGUCGUCUGCCGAGCCAGUCGAAUUUUCUUUGGAGCUAGAAACAAUCAAAAGAAAAUAUUUCGUUUUUUAUGAAGUUUAAGUUUCCUUUUGGAGUACGGAGCGUCCAGCUCUGUGAAUGAUGUAAGUUUUGAAGACUAGAGGCUUCCUUUCAUCGAGUAUUUGUUUUGUUUCAAUUCGCCUUAUUCACCCGGAACUUUCUAAAGACGUUGAGGGGUACACUUCAGGGGUACACCCGGCUGCACACCAGCUGUUUGGCGCCUCACUGCUGUGUGCCCAAAUGUAGUCCUACGUCCUCAAAGAGAAACAAAUCCUACCGUGGACAGACUUCCCACCGUUUCGCCAAAGAGCAGGCACUUCGGCGUGAAUGAAUUAAUCACAUCAAGAGGGAUCCUGGUCCAUAUUUCAAGGUAAGAUGCAUAAUUAUGUCCAAUCAUACGCAUUAGCUAGCACAAAUAAGCUAGCUCGCCAAACUUGUCAUGACUCAUGUAGCCUAAUGAAGCCUAAUUAAAAAAAAAUAUGAAUGUGUAAUUACACAACGCUACAUUUAUAUGGUAUUUCCAGAUCGCUAUUUCAAAAUUAUGCUUUCAAUUUUGUGUUAAGCGAUCCGAUGGCUUACCAGAUGUGUUACCAGAACCAGUAGCAUACUUGUGCCAAAAUGAAGUUGUUUUGCUAACGAACUAAAAUACAUGCUGGUAUUUAUGGUUACAGAUCAACGCUGAGACCGAGGUUUGAUCUGAGCACGUUGAGAAGCAAUGCUUUGUUAAGGUCACCCGUGGUAUGACAACGCUAAUAAAGGAUGCUGUGCCUGCCAACUUUGUUCGUCUGGACUUCAGAGAAGCCAAAGAGGAGAAUCAUCAUUCGCAUACCGUGUAUGGAUUCCAUGGAGUAUUCCAUCGAGUAUUUCUUCUGUUUCAAUCGUCUUGGUGAAGUUUUUGAGCUGGAUCUGGAUUCUGCUGAGGAUUCGUCGACUACUAGAUGGCGAGCCACCCACUCAUUCGAAUGUGAUCCUGUUCUACAUUGCGCAUGGCAUAUUUGGUAGGAUUGUGGCCUGCUCGUGUCACAUCACUGACUAUGACUGACUUCAACGCCUUGAACUGAACUGCUUGAAAGGAGCUAUAUUUCUUUUUGAACAACUUAAAGGAACUCUCUACAUCGUCUCUUUUGAGGAUUUAAAGGACUAUUUCCAAUUUUUGAAGGACAAUUCAAUUUUAUUUUUUUCUUUAAAUGUUCAAACCUUUUUGGGGGGCGGGGGGGGGGUGUAAUUGUAAAUAUUUAAACUUUUCAAUCUCUUACUUGUGAUGUUUUUAUUUCAUUUUGUUAAUGCCCAUUUUAUUAUUUUUCCCUAUAUCCUAUGUUUGUAUUUAAGAAUGUCAUUCUUCAUUAGGGUUGCAUACAAUAUUUUCUAUGGAUACAUGAUUAUUUAUAAUGAUAAAUAAAUAAUAAUUAUUAUUAUUAUUUAUGCAAGAUGGACAUUUGACACGAACAUUAUGGUUUUCCCCGUUCAUUUUGCUUUCGAUAUCCUUUCCUUUUUGUUUUGGACUGUUUCAAUUCACGGGACGUCACUUUAAUCCUCCAAAGGACAUUUUUGGAGUGAAGCGGCCAACUCUCUUGAAUUACUGCUCUUGUCGGCUUGCGCUCGCCUCUGUGGAUCUAAUAAGGACAUAAAAGGACAGAAACUUAA